UAUCGGAGGAAAAGAAACCAACAGGGAUUGCCUCAGUAGCGGCGAGUGAAGCGGCAAAAGCUCAAAUUUGAAAUCUGGCGUCUUUGGCGUCCGAGUUGUAAUUUGAAGAAGGUAUCUUUGGGCCCGGCUCUUGUCUAUGUUCCUUGGAACAGGACGUCACAGAGGGUGAGAAUCCCGUGCGAUGAGAUGACCCGGGUCUGUGUAAAGUUCCUUCGACGAGUCGAGUUGUUUGGGAAUGCAGCUCUAAGUGGGUGGUAAAUUCCAUCUAAAGCUAAAUAUUGGCGAGAGACCGAUAGCGAACAAGUACAGUGAUGGAAAGAUGAAAAGAACUUUGAAAAGAGAGUGAAAAAGUACGUGAAAUUGUUGAAAGGGAAGGGCUUGAGAUCAGACUUGGUAUUUUGCAUGUUGCUCUCUCGGGGGCGGCCGCUGCGGUUUACCGGGCCAGCAUCGGUUUGGAGCGGCAGGAUAAUGGCGGAGGAAUGUGGCACGGCUUCUGCUGUGUGUUAUAGCCUCUGACGAUACUGCCAGCCUAGACCGAGGACUGCGGUUUUUACCUAGGAUGUUGGCAUAAUGAUCUUAAGUCGCCCGUCUG
Molecule: ribosomal RNA, 592 nt
Filed under: Candida albicans
Lineage: Eukaryota; Fungi; Ascomycota; Pichiomycetes; Serinales; Debaryomycetaceae
Description: partial large subunit ribosomal RNA
Rfam family: Eukaryotic large subunit ribosomal RNA
Source: RNAcentral